GCCGGUGUGGCGGAAUGGCAGACGCAGCGGAUUCAAAAUCCGUCGCCCCCAGGGGCAUGAGAGUUCGAGUCUCUCCACCGGCA
RNAcentral lists this transfer RNA (83 nucleotides) under Rubellimicrobium thermophilum DSM 16684. It matches the Rfam family "tRNA". Rfam says of the family: Transfer RNA (tRNA) molecules are approximately 80 nucleotides in length. Their secondary structure includes four short double-helical elements and three loops (D, anti-codon, and T loops). The record is from Rfam by way of RNAcentral. Lineage: Bacteria; Pseudomonadati; Pseudomonadota; Alphaproteobacteria; Rhodobacterales; Roseobacteraceae.